Molecule: ribosomal RNA, 502 nt
Filed under: uncultured bacterium
Lineage: Bacteria
Description: partial 16S ribosomal RNA
Rfam family: Bacterial small subunit ribosomal RNA
Source: RNAcentral
AUUGAACGCUGGCGGAAUGCUUUACACAUGCAAGUCGAACGGCAGCACGGGUGCUUGCACCUGGUGGCGAGUGGCGAACGGGUGAGUAAUACAUCGGAACGUGCCCAGUAAUGGGGGAUAACACAGCGAAAGCUGUGCUAAUACCGCAUACGCCCUGAGGGGGAAAGCGGGGGAUCGAAAGACCUCGGGUUAUUGGAGCGGCCGAUGCCUGAUUAGCUAGUUGGUAGGGUAAAGGCCUACCAAGGCGACGAUCAGUAGCUGGUCUGAGAGGAUGAUCAGCCACACUGGAACUGAGACACGGUCCAGACUCCUACGGGAGGCAGCAGUGGGGAAUUUUGGACAAUGGGGGAAACCCUGAUCCAGCCAUUCCGCGUGAGUGAAGAAGGCCUUCGGGUUGUAAAGCUCUUUCGGCAGGGAAGAAACGCUCUGGGUUAAUAACCUGGGGUAAUGACGGUACCUGAAGAAGAAGCACCGGCUAACUACGUGCCAGCCGCCGCAGUAA